UUUACACUAUUCAUAUCCAACACUUAACCAUUCAUUUUAUUUGAGAAAGUUUUAUGAUUAGUAUUUUUAUUGUUACUAGAUAAUAAAACAUGAAAAGUGUUUUAUGUGUGACUAUUUUUAAAAAAAAUUUAUAAAUUUUUUAAAUAAGACAGAUGAUCAAACGUUGAAGAUCAAAUGUUAGACACUAAUA
Molecule: microRNA precursor, 190 nt
Filed under: Oryza barthii
Lineage: Eukaryota; Viridiplantae; Streptophyta; Magnoliopsida; Poales; Poaceae
Description: MIR812 microRNA precursor family
Rfam family: MIR812 microRNA precursor family
Source: Rfam by way of RNAcentral